UACGUAGGGGGCAAGCGUUAUCCGGAUUUACUGGGCGUAAAGCGCGUUAAGGCGGCCGGCUAAGUUGGUGGUGAAAUUCCAGGGCUCAACCCUGGAACUGCCUCCAAUACUGGUCGGCUCGAGUGCGGGAGAGGAAGGUGGAAUUCCCGGUGUAGUAGUGAAAUGCGUAGAUAUCGGGAGGAACACCAGUGGCGAAGGCGGCUCACUGGCCCGAUACUGACGCUGAGGCACGAAAGCGUGGGGAGCAAACAGG
This 253-nucleotide ribosomal RNA is filed under the name uncultured bacterium. Its description in RNAcentral is "partial 16S ribosomal RNA". It matches the Rfam family "Bacterial small subunit ribosomal RNA", at positions 524 to 776 of the family's 1533-position model. The record is from RNAcentral.